UAGGGAAUAUUGCAAAAUGGGCGAAAGCCCGAUGCAGCAACGCCGCGUGGGCGAUGAAGGCCUUCGGGUCGUAAAGCCCUUUUUGAGGGGAUGAGGAAGGACAGUACCCUCAGAAUAAGCCUCGGCUAACUACGUGCCAGCAGCCGCGGUAAAACGUAGGAGGCGAGCGUUAUCCGGAUUUACUGGGCGUAAAGCGCGUGCAGGCGGAUUGGAGAGUUGGAUGUGAAAGCGCCCGGCUUAACUGGGAGAGGUCGUUCAAUACUUCCAGUCUUGAGUGCAGUAGAGGGAAGUGGAAUUCCGGGUGUAGUGGUGAAAUGCGUAGAUAUCCGGAGGAACACCAGUGGCGAAAGCGGCUUCCUGGACUGUAACUGACGCUCAGACGCGAAAGCUAGGGUAGCAAACG
Molecule: ribosomal RNA, 403 nt
Filed under: uncultured bacterium
Lineage: Bacteria
Description: bacterial SSU rRNA
Rfam family: Bacterial small subunit ribosomal RNA
Source: RNAcentral